Molecule: unclassified non-coding RNA, 289 nt
Filed under: uncultured fungus
Lineage: Eukaryota; Fungi
Description: partial contains 5.8S rRNA, ITS2 and 28S rRNA
Rfam family: Eukaryotic large subunit ribosomal RNA
Source: RNAcentral
AAGGAGUCUAACAUAUCUGCGAGUAUUUGGGUGUCAAACCCGAGUGCGCAAUGAAAGUGAACGUAGGAGCCACGCGCCAGCUGCAGCUCCGGCCGAUCUGGAUCUUUAGUGAAGGGUUUGAGUAAGAGCAUAUAUGUUGGGACCCGAAAGAUGGUGAACUAUGCCUGAAUAGGGCGAAGCCAGAGGAAACUCUGGUGGAGGCUCGUAGCGGUUCUGACGUGCAAAUCGAUCGUCAAAUUUGGGUAUAGGGGCGAAAGACUAAUCGAACCAUCUAGUAGCUGGUUCCUGC